GACGAACGCUGGCGGCGUGCUUAACACAUGCAAGUCGAACGGAAAGGCCCUGCUUUUGUGGGGUGCUCGAGUGGCGAACGGGUGAGUAACACGUGAGUAACCUGCCCUUGACUUUGGGAUAACUUCAGGAAACUGGGGCUAAUACCGGAUAGGAGCUCCUGCUGCAUGGUGGGGGUUGGAAAGUUUCGGCGGUUGGGGAUGGACUCGCGGCUUAUCAGCUUGUUGGUGGGGUAGUGGCCUACCAAGGCUUUGACGGGUAGCCGGCCUGAGAGGGUGACCGGCCCCCUCGGGCCUGAGAUACGGCACCGACGCCUACGGGAAGCAGCAGUGGGGAAUAUUGCACAAUGCGCGGAAGCCUAACGCAGCAACCCCGCGCGCCGGAUGACGCCCUUCGGGUUGUACCCCGCUUUCGCCUGUGACGAAGCGUGAGUGACGGUAAUGGGUAAAGAGGCACCGGCUAACUCCGUG
Molecule: ribosomal RNA, 468 nt
Filed under: uncultured bacterium
Lineage: Bacteria
Description: partial 16S ribosomal RNA
Rfam family: Bacterial small subunit ribosomal RNA
Source: RNAcentral